Molecule: long non-coding RNA, 770 nt
Organism: Girardinichthys multiradiatus
Lineage: Eukaryota; Metazoa; Chordata; Actinopteri; Cyprinodontiformes; Goodeidae
Exons: 2
Source: RefSeq, a predicted model, not a curated record
UCUAGCCUGAGUAAUCUUGCAUGUGUCAUUUGUGUUCUUUGCUCAUUUCUUGUGUUUGUUUUGCUUCCUGACAGUAUCUGUGAGGUGUGGGUGGAUUCUAACACUUGGAACCUGGACAAAAACAAUUUUUUUCAACUUGACCGUAAGAGCUUUUGGAUCUCACUUCUAUUGACUGUGGCUGGGCUCCUGGAUUUCCCAGCAUUUGUUUUGUUGAAGACUGUGACCAACUGUAAACCGCUUCUAGUUGGAUUACUUCCUUGGACUAUUGACUCCCUUUCUCACUGGUAAACCCCUCCGGUGCAUUUACAACUCACAACUUGGAGAACCUGUGAAACGUGUUCCUCAUCCACUGGAUCUUCAAUGCAAAAUUUUUCCAACGUGUCAAAUUAACCCUUUAACUUCAUCUGGUUUCCUGAGUGUGUUUGCAUGUGGGUCAAGCACAUUACUGUAAAUCUAAAACACUAAAUUGGAGAACUAUAAUAUUUAAAUACCCAGCAAGUAUUUUAUCUUCAUUGUCUAGUAAAGAUGGCAACCUUGCUGCUAACUAUGCAUAUUGUUAAAUUUUUGCUGUUUUGUGGGAGACCUUCCUGGCACCUCUGUAGAUGUCAGUGAUUAAGUGGUGUAAAGCUUUGUUUUGUUCCACACAGAAUGCUGCAAAACUUGUAACCCAUCAAUCAUGGCAUCCAUAUUUGGAUAGAAGCCAACAGCAGCUGUUUCCUCACUUCCAGUCUGAUCUAAUGUUACAAAAUAAACACUGUGAAGUACUUUCA